GAACUAAAAUCAGGGGUGGAUAAUUACUGCAAACCUUGGAACCUGUAAAUAACUCCAGAGAAGCACCACUCACUGAAAUGAAUUACAUGUGCUGGUUCAGACAGGAUUCAAGAGGCCCAGGAGACAAAGAGCAAGCUGGGGGUAUAAAGGACUAACUUGAACUGACUCCCCCUCCCAGUUUGAGGCAGCCAAUGGACAUGAACCUUUUCCCAGGGUGGGAAAGGCACAAACCCUGCUGAAGUGGUUGAAAGGCUGUGACCUAUCAGACCCUGAUGUGGAAGAUAAGAAACUUCUGGGACAUUUCUGAAAUCAUUGACCAGAAAUGAAAAUCUACUAUGUCCAGAUGACAUCUCUACUUCUACAUGCCCUUCAUGCUAAAUAACUGUGUAAAGGGGGAUAUGGAGCCUAUGUAUGGAAGAUGAGGGAGAAGGAAGAAGAGUAUUUAUGACGAGAGAUUAGUGAAUACAAACCUCAAGAAAAGUAGCAGGUUGUCUCUGCAGUCCAUAUCAACAAGAGAAAGAAAAUGAGGUGGAAAAGAGAACCUGCCAGGGUGAAGUAUAUACCAAUUUAGAAGGUGGUCAGCUGAAGAAAACCCCACCUCCCUUCACUUAUGUGCUCUGACUGAGGAGAAUUCCGGCCCCUCGUCUCUUUCUCCCACCGAUGUCUGUCAGGAGAUACUCCAUUCAGAGACUUUGACUCGCACAGCAGCUGCAUCUCGGGUUUCAGCCUGCAACCUCAACAUGACGUUCCAGGCCUGCCAAAUAUUGUUGGGAUCUGCAAGAUAAAAAGG
Non-coding RNA from Chrysemys picta bellii (western painted turtle), 790 nucleotides. The record is from RefSeq and is a predicted model, not a curated record. NCBI's taxonomy places the organism in Eukaryota, Metazoa, Chordata, Testudines, Emydidae.